AUCCACUGAAGAGCCCACCUUUAAAAUCAUCUCUUUCCAAUUUAGAGAUAAGGAUGCAGUGUAGGACUAUAUCAAAGGUCCUGCAGAAGUCCUGUGCAAAAGGGCAUCAGUUACCCUUCCUUUGUUCAUCAGUGUCAUCACAUCAUCGUACAACACCACCAGACUGAGGUGGUGGCACAGUCUGCCUUUGGUGAAGCCAUGCUGACUGUCUCAGAUCACCUCUUUGUCUCACAUAUGCUGAAUUUUUUGGCAGUGACAGAAAGGCCUGAAUCAAGCUUCCAGUUCCUCCCUUCGUAUCUAAGUAUUUCCUGUAGAAGCUCAAGAGAUUAAAAAGUACCCUAUUCUUAUGCAAACGUUCCCUUGGGACUGAAAAGGCCUCCAUCCCUCCUCCCUCGUGCCACGAUCUGGAGAAAUCGACACUCACAUGUGUUAACCCAAGUAUAGUAUUUGAUGAUGGAAGGAAAGA
This 466-nucleotide long non-coding RNA is filed under the name Phasianus colchicus (ring-necked pheasant). Its description in RNAcentral is "lncRNA (ENSPCLG00000013335.1)". Lineage: Eukaryota; Metazoa; Chordata; Aves; Galliformes; Phasianidae. The record is from RNAcentral.